RNAcentral lists this ribosomal RNA (532 nucleotides) under Buccinum striatissimum. RNAcentral's name for it is "partial 16S rRNA". It matches the Rfam family "Bacterial large subunit ribosomal RNA", at positions 1809 to 2612 of the family's 2925-position model. The record is from RNAcentral. Lineage: Eukaryota; Metazoa; Mollusca; Gastropoda; Neogastropoda; Buccinidae.
AAAAACAUGGCUCCUUGUUUAUAAUACAUAAGGAGUCGGACCUGCCCAGUGAAAUUUUUUAACGGCCGCGGUACUCUGACCGUGCAAAGGUAGCAUAAUCAUUUGCCUUAUAAUUGAAGGCUAGUAUGAAUGGUUUGACAAGAAUGUAGCUGUCUCUUUAUAAUUAAAUAGAAUUUUAUUUAUAGGUGAAGAAGCCUAUAUUAAAUUAAAAGACAAGAAGACCCUAUCGAGCUUGAAAGAAACUACUAGAGUAAUAAUUAAUGAUAUCAAAAAAUUUACUAUUAGAAAUUUUAGUUGGGGCGACUAAGGAACAAAAAAAGCUUCCUUUAAAAACUAAAACUAAACAAGUAUUGAUCCAAAACAUUUUGAUUAAAGGAAUUAGUUACCGUAGGGAUAACAGCAUUAUCUUUUUUAAGAGCUCUUAUCGAAAAAAAGGUUUGUGACCUCGAUGUUGGACCAGAAUAUCCUAAAGAUGCAGCAGUCUUUAAGGGUUGGUCUGUUCGACCAUUAAAAUUCUACGUGAUCUGAGUUC